This 187-nucleotide unclassified non-coding RNA is filed under the name uncultured Mortierellales. RNAcentral's name for it is "sequence contains ITS1". Lineage: Eukaryota; Fungi; Mortierellomycota; Mortierellomycetes; Mortierellales. The record is from RNAcentral.
CAACAAGUGUUUUAUGGCACUUUUUAAACAAUCCAUAUCCACCUUGUGUGCAACGUUUGGAGACCCUCUGUCUUCGUUACCUUAUUUUGGGGUGACGGAAAGGGGGGAACCUCUAUAAUUUACCAACAUCACCUUUAACAUAUUUGUCUGAACAUUAGUUAUCACGAAUUAACUUAAUUCGAAAAUA